UUGGUAGCUCGUCGGGCUCAUAACCCGAAGGUCGUCGGUUCAAAUCCGGCC
This 51-nucleotide transfer RNA is filed under the name Vibrio cholerae. RNAcentral describes it as "tRNA-Leu". It matches the Rfam family "tRNA", at positions 16 to 64 of the family's 71-position model. From Rfam's summary of the family: Transfer RNA (tRNA) molecules are approximately 80 nucleotides in length. Their secondary structure includes four short double-helical elements and three loops (D, anti-codon, and T loops). Lineage: Bacteria; Pseudomonadati; Pseudomonadota; Gammaproteobacteria; Vibrionales; Vibrionaceae. The record is from RNAcentral.